RNAcentral lists this long non-coding RNA (433 nucleotides) under Marmota monax (woodchuck). The stretch from base 84 to 157 matches the Rfam family "tRNA". Lineage: Eukaryota; Metazoa; Chordata; Mammalia; Rodentia; Sciuridae. The record is from RNAcentral.
AGAAAUCCAGGUCUGAAACCCUAAUGCCUUAAAUUAAUGGAUGAAACAAUCUUAAUCCAGUAAUAUAUUUUAAAUAAGGGCUUGUUAAGAUGGCAGAGCCUGGUAAUUGCAUAAGACUUAAAACUUUAUUUCAGAGGUUCAACUCCUCUUCUUAACAUUACUACUUUUAAUUAUUCCAAUCUUAGUAGCUAUAGCCUUCCUUACCUUAAUUGAACGAAAAAUACUAGGAUACAUACAACUUCGCAAAGGUCCUAAAAAAUACUAGGAUACAUACAACUUCGCAAAGGUCCUAAUGUUGUUGGGCCUUACGGCUUACUUCAACCAAUUGCUGACGCAGUAAAAGAACCCAUAAAACCUUUAACAUCAUCAAUUGUAUUAUUUAUUAUUGCUCCAACCCUUGCCCUAACACUAGCAUUCACCAUAUGAAUUCCCC